This 253-nucleotide ribosomal RNA is filed under the name uncultured bacterium. Its description in RNAcentral is "partial 16S ribosomal RNA". It matches the Rfam family "Bacterial small subunit ribosomal RNA", at positions 524 to 776 of the family's 1533-position model. The record is from RNAcentral.
GACGAACCGUGCGAACGUUGUUCGGAAUCACUGGGCUUAAAGGGCGCGUAGGCGGGCUGUCAAGUCAGUGGUGAAAUCCUUCAGCUCAACUGGAGAAGUGCCGCUGAUACUGACAGUCUCGAGGGAGGUAGGGGUCGAUGGAACUAAUGGUGGAGCGGUGAAAUGCGUAGAUAUCAUUAGGAACGCCGGUGGCGAAAGCGAGCGACUGGACCUCUUCUGACGCUGAGGCGCGAAAGCUAGGGGAGCAAACGGG